Molecule: ribosomal RNA, 257 nt
Filed under: uncultured bacterium
Lineage: Bacteria
Description: partial small subunit ribosomal RNA
Rfam family: Bacterial small subunit ribosomal RNA
Source: RNAcentral
AGGACGAACGCUGGCGGCGUGCUUAACACAUGCAAGUCGAGCGGAAAGGCCCUUCGGGGUACUCGAGCGGCGAACGGGUGAGUAACACGUGAGCAACCUGCCCUUAGCUUCGGGAUAGCUCCGGGAAACCGGAAUUAAUACCGAAUAUGAUUUUUGCUGACAUCAGCAGAAGUGGAAAGUUUUUCGGCUAGGGAUGGACUCGCGGCCUAUCAGCUAGUUGGUGAGGUAACGGCCCACCAAGGCGACGACGGGUAGCC